Molecule: ribosomal RNA, 468 nt
Filed under: uncultured bacterium
Lineage: Bacteria
Description: partial 16S ribosomal RNA
Rfam family: Bacterial small subunit ribosomal RNA
Source: RNAcentral
GACGAACGCUGGCGGCGUGCUUAACACAUGCAAGUCGAACGGAAAGGCCCUUCUUUUGUGGGGUGCUCGAGUGGCGAACGGGUGAGUAACACGUGAGUAACCUGCCCUUGACUUUGGGAUAACUUCAGGAAACUGGGGCUAAUACCGGAUAGGAGCUCCUGUUGCAUGGUGGGGGUUGGAAAGUUUCGGCGGUUGGGGAUGGACUCGCGGCUUAUCAGCUUGUUGGUGGGGUAGUGGCUUACCAAGGCUUUGACGGGUAGCCGGCCUGAGAGGGUGACCGGCCACAUUGGGACUGAGAUACGGCCCAGACUCCUACGGGAGGCAGCAGUGGGGAAUAUUGCACAAUGGGCGGAAGCCUGAUGCAGCAACGCCGCGUGCGGGAUGACGGCCUUCGGGUUGUAAACCGCUUUCGCCUGUGACGAAGCGUGAGUGACGGUAAUGGGUAAAGAAGCACCGGCUAACUACGUG